RNAcentral lists this long non-coding RNA (6712 nucleotides) under Sus scrofa (pig). RNAcentral describes it as "lncRNA (ENSSSCG00000062376.1)". Lineage: Eukaryota; Metazoa; Chordata; Mammalia; Artiodactyla; Suidae. The record is from RNAcentral.
GACCAACGUAACAUUUACUGAGAACAAAAAUAAUAGUCACAAUUGAAAGUCCUGAAAUGGAAAUCCUAGGAGGAGAAAGGUCAUAACUUGAGUGAACUUUGUGUUUCUUUUAGCACAUGAAUUGAACAUUAAAAGUAUCUAUUGAUUUGUUUUUCAGACUGUAGUUUUCCUCAUUCUUUCUUUCUCAGGGAUGCUGUCACCUACUUGCCUUGUAGGGGCUGCCGUUCAGUUAACGAGAAGGUACUGUGAGCAUGAGAUGAAGAAGAAAGAUUCCAUGACUCAUAGGGAAAAUAAUGCAUGGCACUCUGGUUUGAGGUCAUGGUAGAUAAAGAAAUGAAAGGUCUGGCUGGUUUUGUCCAGGAAGGUGGCUACAGAUGAUUGAAAACUUCAUUAGCCUGAACUGUGGACAGAGGGAGAGCUUUGUCUUUCUCUCCCUAUCUCCAGCUUAGGCAGAAAAUACCACUUUUGUGUUUGAAGAUUAUGAAGAAAAUAUGGACCUGGUAAUAUUUUGAAUGGUGACAUGAAGUUAGGAUUAAGAUGCUGGGGUCUUCCUUUUUAAGAUGUACGAGGGAGGUUCAGCAGGAGGACACAUCAGAAAGGCAGCUGGUGCCUAAUUGCCAAAUGUUUGAGGUCUUCAGUUAAUGCUUUGCUGGAGGAACUAGGAUUUUGUGAUUAACUUUAUGGAAGUGUCAGAAAUACUUUUCAACACAUAGGAUAUGACAUUAGCUACAGCAUGAAGAGAUCUCAUACGUCUUCCGGGUCAAGAACUGGCGGGGGUUAGCAUUCUCUAAAUCCUCAGUGAUGAUGUGCAAGAUGGAUUUCAAAAUUAAGACAAAUAAUCUCCUAAAACCAAGUUCCUCCAUUCUGUUGCUUCAGAGUAAGUUCCUAGAACUAAUAAUGUGUGUGCUAGAUUUUUUUUUUUUGAAAGCCAACAAUUAGGUGUACCAGAAAAAAAAUUACUUUUGAGAAUAUUUGCUCUUUUCUACUUUUUAAUUAAAGUAAUGGGGAGAUAAUUACAAAAACCUGCCCUCUUUACCUUGUCUUUAUCUCUCUUCUUAUUGUUUAUGCAGGAAAAUUCUGAGGGCAUUUUUUUGGUAAAGACAGAGAAGUGUCCCAGAAACCUUGGCCAUUCCAAUCAUGUCAUUGUAUGUUACGGCUUUGUUAAAUUAACUUGUGUUAAGUGGCACACAGAGUGCUGGAUGAUGAGGCAUGGUGCAAGGGAAGACCAGUAGAGAGACUGAGAUAGAGAUGUUUAUUACUCACGGGUCCUGGAGGAAGGACACUGAACACUUCUGGGAACCGAGGAAGUCAAGGCAGAGUGUAGGCAGAGAGAGGGGCUGGACCUGGAGCACAUGCCUUUUUUAGGGUCUGUUGGCACAGUGCUUUGGGAUUCCUGGGCUAAGGCCUGACUAAGUAGGGUUUUGCUAAGCUCCUUGGGGGUCCUGCAUAAGGGGUGCCCAAGGGGAAUCCCCUGAGUGGUGUGGGAGACUGUUGACUGAUUACAAGGGCUGUUGGGGAAGGCGUACUAGGAACUUAACAUUUACUUGUGACUCUGUGAGCUUUAUCUAGGGCUUCUGAGGUGACUGGUGUCUGUUUAAAGCCCCUGCAGGUCACUUGGCCAUACACAAAAUGGACUCCGGGGCAGCAAUACCAUUGAGUGGCAUAGUUAAACUCUGGAGGCUGUGUUAUAGGGACUGCCUUUGCCUGAGAACGCCCCAACCAGACUUGCAAAGUUCUGAAUAUUGGAGCUGCUCUACCAAGGCCAUCAACUCUAAAGUAAAGAGAUGUAGCAUAAUUAGCUUUUCUGAUAGCCUCUUGAACAAAAUGUCAGUUCAGAAACCUGAAGUGUUUGCUAAUGACAAGGGCCCAACUGUCCCAUAAAACUAGAAAAGUGGUGUUUGUUGUCUGUUUCAAGAACUGGAAAUCAAAAUCUUAAUGAUACAGGAAAUGCUCUUCAAAGGCCAAGAAGUCUUAGUGAAAGAUAAGAGGAUCAAUCAGUCUUAAAUACGAGUUUACUAAGAGUAAGAGACGGGAUGUUGCUAGCGUGGAUAUGUAUUUCAAAAGGCAUGAAUAAAACCCAGAAAUGGUGUUAAUUUUACUUUGAAGUAUAUAAUGAAACCCCUCAAGUACCCAGACUUCAACACCCCUUUCCCAAAAUGACCAAAAUUUCCAUUUUUGAGCGUUUAUCAUUCCGCCUUUUUCCGUUCCCCGAGUCUUAACAGAAUUUUAAAAGAGCAGCUAAUAAAUGAAGUAUACUUCAGUUUCAUGUAAUGGAUUGGAUCAGAAGGGAACUGAUAAGAUGAUAUUGGAAAAGCAGGUGGGGGGUCGAAAAGCUGCACAAGUGCUAAGCUGUGUAGGUUCAAUUGAUUCCUGGCGCGCAGGCUGCAGUCCCUGAGUUAUUCCAGAAAAUGGAAGGAGAGCCCUCCCUGCACGCUUACAAGUAAGGCUCUUCCCCAGGGACUGGUAACCAGCAGGGCCAGAGGUGAUGAGGGGGAGGUAAGGCCAAUUAAGAAUUCAGACUGGGGAAGCAGGAAACAGAAGCCACAGGGAGAAUUCCAAAGGGGAAGGCAGGAAAUGCGACUCUGGGUCACUGUAGGCAUUCGCGGUAGAAUACAAAUAUGAGUUUUAAACCCGCUCUAGAGAAACUCAUUUUAGUGGAAGACAGGAUCAAAGGAGGCCGGACGCUUUGCAAUGUGGUUUCUAAAGGCAAGGCAGAGGGGUAGAAUAUCUGAGUAGAAACUUAUCAUUAAAACCUAGCCUGGUGUUUAUCAUCCUUUCUGUGUUCUUGGCACACUUUGGGAUAUUAGAAAUUUUAGUGGUGUAAUGGAAGGAAUUGAAAAGCUGAAAACAAAACUAAGAAGCAAUUCAGCAAUAAUUUCGACACAAUCACUGUUACAGUUUAACAAUAAUGGUGCAGUGUCUAUAGGCGCACCCCAGGGACUGAGAGCUGGGGUGGGGGAAGUGGUGAGGAGUCAGAGGGAGGUCUAGAUGCUAGACUCUGUGACCUCGGACCCAUUGCUUAUUGACUCGAAUCACCAGGCUCUGCAUCUCUAAAAUGGAGAAGAAUAGGACCUCCUUCAUGGAAUAUUCUAAAGGUUGAAGAAAAAAACAAUGGAGAGGUCACAGCUCCUGGCUCUUAUGAAUGCUCCUUAUCAUACGGUCUCCUUGCUCCUCAGCACCUGGCAAGGUUCCCUGUCCGGAUAGCCCUCUCUUAAGCUCUGGAGGCCAACUUCUUAUCUGGUUCAGUCAAUAUGAGCUCUUUCUUGGGCAAAAACCUGCUGUCUCUUACCUGACUCAGAGCAAGUUGUAGUUCUGCUCUUAUCAAACCACGUGACUGGCUUACCAACCUGUCCGGUCAGCCAGCCACUGUAGUGAAAGUAUAUACACCAAACUUAGGGACCAGUUUCAUAAACUGGACAAAAUUUGGGGGCACAUUUGAAAAAGUUUCACAGCAUAUUAGGGUGCCUGGACAAGUCAUCUAAGAAUGAACUUUGUAGGGGAAAGAUAGAAGAUUUAUUUUCUCCCUAAAUCAAGUUUUCCUUUCUCCUCUAAAUAGUGGGCCCAUAGGUUACUUAAUUGUUUUUGUCUUCAAGCGAGUACUGCUGGGCACCAUAGAAGGUAUUUCAAAGAUAUCGUCUCAUUUUUCUUCUCUUUGAAGCAACUCUGUGAGGAAGGUCAUAUUAUUUAAAAAAAAAAUCACUCUAUAGACAAGACACUAAGGCUUAGAAAGAUUAAGUAGCAUGAAAUUUAGGUCUUUAUAAACUCCAAAACUGAUGCUUUAGAAUUUGCAUUUCUGUUUACAGUGAUGCUGAAGCUACUGGUCUUAGAACAACAAUUUGAAAAACUCUGUUGUAAUAUCCCCUCAAACCCUAGUUGAGUCCCUCCAAAAGCCACAUAACAAUGCAUAUGUACACUCCUAAAGUGAAAACACAGCAUCUUGAAAGGAAAUCGGAAAUAACUCUCCCCAGGAAAACACUGAUGACCCUAGUCCUAAGUCAGAUACAGGCACCACCACCCUGUGUUAGAUGACUUCUUCAGUGGCUGAAGCUAUUUUGUGGUGAGCUUUGUAUUUCUUACCACGCCAAGGGCACAGAAAUUUAGUCCUACAUUGCCUAAUUCUGUGAUUUAUUGUUGUCAUUUGAAAUAAAAUACUUCCAUGCAUGGUAAAAAACAAAGCAAGAAAUAAAGGCUUGGAAAUGGUUGUGGUUUGUCAAUGGUAACACCAUUGGUAUCAUAUUUGUUUGUGAAGUUUUGAAAAUUGCUUUAGAAAGCCUUGGGGCAGAAAGCUUCACUUAAUUAAAAUAUUUUAAAUCAAACCACAGGAACUUCAGUUCAUAAAGCCUCAGGGUACAGCUAGCAAUUGUAAGAAACUCAAUUGGAAUAGGGUGGAUGAAUAUAAUAAUACAGGGUAUAACAUUUUAUUAUUUGUUUGCUGAGUUGAAAUAAUUAGGCCACAGAAAAUCUUUGGUUAACUAUUGGAAUUCUGAAGAUAAUCAUUAAUUGUUCCACAACUGGUUUAGUGAUUCCCAAAGACUGUUCAUGGAGCAUUGGGAUAAUGUUCCCAGGUUGUUUGAUGAGGAAAAGAUUUCCUCUUAAAGUAACUUUAGGAAGUAUUGCACCACUCUCUUGAAAGUAGACAUCAGCCAUUUGCUUAGGAAAAGCUCUUAAAAGAUCUAUAGUAUAGCAACCUGACCAUCUUGUCUAAACCAUCAUUUCCCAAAAUGUUUUGACCACAGAUCUUUGCUCCCUCUUCCUUUCCCGUAACCCCCAUCCCAAAUAACACCUUUUCACAAGGCAUGGAACCAAAAAGAUCUUUGGGAAACAUUGAUAAUAUUUUUAAGCUAAAAUGGAUACUGAACCAGUCAUAGGUAUUUACUGCCAAGCUGGGCUCCUCUCAUCUUUAAUUCUCGCUUUUUAGAAAAGUGUUGUCUUGCUCUUUGCUGACAUAAAGACCUGAACAUAGUUAUAUACCAUUUGAUGACUAAAUUGUACAAGCAGUGAGAGAUGCUAGGGUUGCCUUCUGAGUUUCUUAGUGGAUCCAGUAAAACCAUACCAAUUUGGUCUAACCGGGAGGAAGAUCUGUCCGACUUGUGUAAAGUUGGUAAAGAAACUUAAUUACAUUACUUCCAAUAGAUAACUUGAUGCCUUGAAUGAUGCCUAUAAAAGGUCCUUGGGGGAGGCCACUCUAAUGACUAGAGAUUAUUUAUAAUUACGGGAACACUUGUUGAUGUGUUAAAAGUAUGUGAAUUGUAUGAAAACUACAUGAGUUAAAUGUUUUUCUCCUUGGAAGUAUUAAUUUGCUUAGCAAAUUCAUUUUUCCUAGGUACUGGAAAGUAAUCUUCAGCCACUUUUUCCCCAGCUAGAGGAAAGGUAAACUUUAACCUAACCAUUUUUCUAAUUAUCACACAUUUUGAAUUAAUGGGGUCCAAAUUAAUUAAGGUUUUAUUAUAGUUUCAUCCUUAGGAGACAAGGUUUCAUUUCCCUCUUUUGAAGUAUUUUCAAUCUGAAUCAAAAGAAGAUUAACCUCACCUCUCUCCUAGCUUGAAGCCAAUGGGUUUCAACUUCUUUCUUUCCCUCCCCAACAUACCUGAGGGUUAUGAAACACUCCCUCUGUAAGGAAGAGGAGGUGUGUGCUGGGCUAUAAUUAGGAAAAUCUCCCUAGGUGAUUCUGAUAAGCUCCCCACCCCUUCUUGAGACUUUCUGGCUUUAUGCCUUUGAUUAAAACCUUGUAACCCUCAGGCAAGCGUGGAAGUGGGGCAGGAAGGGCAGUAUAGGCCCUGACAGGACUCCCGCUAAGCUAGGGCUCUGAUGGCAGGGAGUUCUGUACUGAAUACUGGGUAUUGAUAACCCAGGAGCAGCCAAAAGGAAGGAGAAUGAAAGUCUUUGGUAUAAUCAGGGGUGGAGAUUUAAGAGUUAAUCUGUUUGAUGCUCAAUCUAUGAAUGGGAAGGAAAAGAGAACUCCAUCCCAGUGCUUGCUUUCCCACCAUUUCUCCAACCUCACCUACAGUCUCUUAAAGUCACUGACAAAGAAAUAAGCUACUACAUGUAGGUUCAUAGAUGAUAGAGCUGUGGUGUCUGCAAACCAGGCUCUUGGGGGCUAAAAUGUGAAAUUAGAGGAAAUUAACAAUAUAAUGAAAGUUAUCAUCGAAAUCAUCAUAGUCAUUGUUGUGCAUUCCUAUUAUGAUCUAUCUUUUGAAGGUUUAGAUGAACUAGAACAGCUAGCAAAUAGAAACAAAUAUUUAAAAAAUUAUUUUUACUUGUAAGCAAAAUGUUAAAUGUGAGUAGGGUACCCAUUUCCUUUGAUAUUGAGGUACUGAAUCUUCUAGGCUAUUAAAGAGCCCUUUGGGAAAUAACUUGCCCUUGCCUAAUGCUUCUGUUGUUUUACUAUGUGCCAGGAUGAGUUGGAUGCUUAUUUAAUUACAUCUAUAUUUAUUUCAGUUCCUUUUAGCAGGUUGUCCACAUUUGAUAACAUUCCAACUAUCAUCUAAAUAUUCUAACUUGAGGGCAGCUCCUGUAAAUUAGAGGUAAAGAUGAAAACAAAAGAGGAUCUUUUUUUGUUGUUUUUUUCCUUUAGCACGUUCCAGGAUGUUGUUGAGAACGUAGGAAUACUAAGUGGCUGUUACACGUUCAUUUGUCACUGAAUUGGGUUUGGAUGACCAGGAUUGGGCUGCCUGUCAAGAGAUCUGUUUUCUCAUAGCUCUGUGAGCAUAAC